AAUAUAGGCUAGUUAAUGCGAAUUGGAGGGACAUCUGUUUUAUUUUAAACUACUUGUAUUACAUUUUAUGAAUGAUUCUGUCAUUCAUUGGUACGUGCGUUUGAUUGCUUAAGAUAACAUAUAUUUCAUUUAUUUAUUUUUUCUGCCGAUGUUUUCACAUCAGCUUUUUAUUGCAUGCAUGUUAUUGUCCGGGUAGCAUAAUGUAAUGAAUCACUGUGAUGCUUUCGACUACUGGGGAAAAGGCACCAAAGUCACUGUCGGUGCUGAGCAGCCAUCUUACAUUUACCCCCUUCACCAAUGUGGGUCUGCAGACUCUCGUGGUGACAUCAGCCUCGGAUGCAUUGCCAGCGGUUUUUCACCCCUGGAUGCCUUGAGCUUUAAGUGGAGUGACAGUAACGGUAACGUGCUGCCUGACUUCCAUCAAUACUCACCGGUCAUGGUCAGUGGAAGCACCAUGAUGGUCAGUCACAUCAAUGUCAAAGCGGCAGACUGGAACAGUCAGAAAUCUUACACAUGUGCUGCACAUCACCAGAACCUUGGACCUGAGAAGUCAGAGAUAUUACAGAAGCCAGACUCAUCAAACAGAGGUACGAAGACGACUCCUUCAGUCUCCAUCCCAACACCAACUCCUGAAGACCUUAAUGGAAAAAGUAAAUUCUUCCUGCUCUGCCUGGUAACAGGCUUCUAUCCUGAGAAAAUAAAAGUCACGUGGCAAGUAGAUGGGGGGAAGUAUGAGGAUGGUAUUACUGGAGAGCCACUGGGGACUGGGGAUGAAUCCUCUGUCAUUAGUCAGUUUAAGGUCUCAAAAGAGGACUGGGACAAAGGCAACAUGUACAGCUGCAACGCCAGACAGGCAUCUCAGGAGGGAAGGCUAGUACCUUCAAUGAGAACUGUGUCCAAAUCAACGAGUAAUUCACUGGAAUGUCCUGUACGUGAAUGUUCUAUAUGAAUAAUAAUGGCUUAUUUGUAGAUGCCACUGCAUAGUCACUGUUAUCUCAUGUGACACAGGAAGGUCAGUGUAGUUUUACGUUAGACAUUCUAAUGCUGGUUAUAAACUUCAGCUUUUUCAGGAAGUCCACACUCAUAGUUUUCUUUCACACAGCAUGACAAACCCCUGCUUUGCUCACCUUCUGUAUUUUGCGUUUGGUCUUUUUCCCAUGUUGUCCUUUUUUGUUAUAGUAUGUGAAAAAUCAUUGUCUCAUGUUUAUAAAGCAAGAUUAGUGAAGUAUUAUUAGUAUUCAAAAAGAUCACUGUAAAGCAGACUAAUAAUGGAUGUAAUAUUAAUCUGAUUUUAAUUUUUCUUAACUUUUUGUUUAUAUUCUGAAAUGUAUCAAUCCAUACAUUAUACAACUUUGGAGUUUUAAAAUGCUAUAUGCUUUUUGAAAUUUGUAAGUUAAUAUUUUUGAUGAACAUCCUGAACAACUGAGACAAAAGUGAGCAGAUUUUGUCUGAUCUCUGUUAACAUUGUUUAUGGUUUCCUGUGAUGUCAUUCUGUCAUAUUUUAGUCACAUGUUCCUCCUCCUGAUGUUCACUGUGUCUGUCUCUGUCCAUAAUGAUGUCAUCAUUCGUCUGCUGCCAGUGUUACGGCUUAUUGUCUCAUUGCUCAGAGAUGCAAAUCUCAGAUGUCCUGAAGGUCCUCUUAAACCACCUCCUGUCACUGGAAUGCUGUGAAUCUCCUGUGUGGCAUUUAUAGAAACAUUAAUAAAAGUUACUGCAUAUGACAUUAGAGUCAGCCAUUAAUUCCAUUAAGCAGGAGGGGGGGGGUUGACAUUCAUUUCUCUCCAAUUUAACUCCAUGUUCUAUUUAUGUCUUUAAUGAGGAGAAAGUGCACUUAGACACAGCACAAGGCCACACAAUAAUGUGUCACUGUAAUUAUUCAUGCUUUUCAGGUUUACAUGACAGAGAUCAUUCUAGCGCUACUAUCAACCUAAACGUAAUAUAUAGAUAGCAUUUAAUGCUCCCAUGUCAGUAAUUUGUACCGUACAUGGUACACUCAAACCACACAUGUACCAAGGAAACAAUAGUAUAUAUGAAUUAUACCAUUGUCUCUCAUAUCAGUAUUUAAGUGCUACAUGCCAGCACAGUACAGCUGUCAGGUGACCAGGGCUGCUACUGUCAUUUCAUUCUGAAAUAUUUACCACUGCUGAUGAUUGGUUGUCAUCGUCUUUUUAAAUGUUCUGCUUUAAUGUCAAGCUUUCUGUUACAAACUAAUAUAUUUAUGCAAGUCAUCAAAUUAGCUUUGUUAAAUCAGAUUCACUGGCAACAUGAAUAUUAGCUACACUAUAACAUUACAGCAACAAUAACAAUGCUGUGUGACUGUGUGAGUGUCUCAGGGCUGCUGCUGUGUGUGUCAUGGUUUUGUGUGUCUAACUAACAGGGCCUGUUUGUUACAAAGAGACUGGUUAUGAAGAAGGUAAAACACGACUAAGGAUACAGCAGGCUGAAGGUCACUGGUAGAUAUAGGGAGUUUGUUUAGGUCUUACUCUGUAACUGUAUGAGUUGUGCUUGCAGUUCAUGACUGGGAUAGAGUGGAUAUGACACUGUGUGUGACUGUGUGUGUGUGUCUACAUGAGAAGUGUAAGAGGUGAAUCUCUGAGGCUGUGCAGAGUGUCUCUGUGUGCAUGUGUGCGCGUGUGUGUGUGUGUGUGUGUCUGUGUUUGUGUAUGUAUGUGUGUGUGUAUAUGUAUGCGUGUGUGUGUGUGUGUCUGUAAGGGUCAGACUGUGAUAUACUGUGUGGACAGUGAGAGGCUCUAC
Molecule: non-coding RNA, 2754 nt
Organism: Paramormyrops kingsleyae
Lineage: Eukaryota; Metazoa; Chordata; Actinopteri; Osteoglossiformes; Mormyridae
Source: the annotation of a RefSeq genome assembly